AAGCGGAAACAUGGAGCACUCAGCGUCUUUAGCCCUCCGAAGGCAGGGGUCAGAGGUUCGAAUCCUCUCGGGUGCGCCA
Molecule: transfer RNA, 79 nt
Filed under: Brevundimonas lenta
Lineage: Bacteria; Pseudomonadati; Pseudomonadota; Alphaproteobacteria; Caulobacterales; Caulobacteraceae
Description: tRNA-OTHER
Source: RNAcentral